AUUGAACGCUGGCGGAAUGCUUUACACAUGCAAGUCGAACGGUAGAGGGGGCAACCCCUCGAGAGUGGCGAACGGGUGAGUAAUAUAUCGGAACGUGCCCAGUCGUGGGGGAUAACGUAGCGAAAGUUACGCUAAUACCGCAUACUAUCUAAGGAUGAAAGCGGGGGAUCGCAAGACCUCGCUCGAUUGGAGCGGCCGAUAUCAGAUUAGGUAGUUGGUGGGGUAAAGGCUCACCAAGCCAACGAUCUGUAGCUGGUCUGAGAGGACGACCAGCCACACUGGAACUGAGACACGGUCCAGACUCCUACGGGAGGCAGCAGUGGGGAAUUUUGGACAAUGGACGCAAGUCUGAUCCAGCCAUUCCGCGUGCAGGAUGAAGGCCCUCGGGUUGUAAACUGCUUUUGUACGGAACGAAAAGGUCUCUCUUAAUACGGGGGGCUCAUGACGGUACCGUAAGAAUAAGCACCGGCUAACUACGUGCCAGCAGCCGCCGUAA
RNAcentral lists this ribosomal RNA (496 nucleotides) under uncultured bacterium. Its description in RNAcentral is "partial 16S ribosomal RNA". It matches the Rfam family "Bacterial small subunit ribosomal RNA", at positions 30 to 523 of the family's 1533-position model. The record is from RNAcentral.